RNAcentral lists this ribosomal RNA (549 nucleotides) under marine sediment bacterium BB0608_2216_4.2_7G0. RNAcentral describes it as "bacterial SSU rRNA". It matches the Rfam family "Bacterial small subunit ribosomal RNA", at positions 75 to 618 of the family's 1533-position model. The record is from RNAcentral.
GUAGCUUGCUACCCGCUGACGAGCGGCGGACGGGUGAGUAAUGCAUAGGAAACUGCCCAGUAGUGGGGGAUAGCCCGGGGAAACCCGGAUUAAUACCGCAUACGUCCUUCGGGAGAAAGCAGGGGCUCUUCGGACCUUGCGCUAUUGGAUGUGCCUAUGUCGGAUUAGCUAGUUGGUGGGGUAAAGGCCUACCAAGGCAACGAUCCGUAGCUGGUCUGAGAGGAUGAUCAGCCACAUCGGGACUGAGACACGGCCCGAACUCCUACGGGAGGCAGCAGUGGGGAAUAUUGGACAAUGGGGGCAACCCUGAUCCAGCCAUGCCGCGUGUGUGAAGAAGGCUUUCGGGUUGUAAAGCACUUUCAGUGAGGAGGAAAACCUUAUGGUUAAUACCCAUGAGGCUUGACGUUACUCACAGAAGAAGCACCGGCUAACUCCGUGCCAGCAGCCGCGGUAAUACGGAGGGUGCAAGCGUUAAUCGGAAUUACUGGGCGUAAAGCGCGCGUAGGUGGUUUGAUAAGCGAGAUGUGAAAGCCCCGGGCUUAACCUGGG